Lethenteron reissneri (Far Eastern brook lamprey) is the source of this 730-nucleotide long non-coding RNA. RefSeq lists it as uncharacterized. Lineage: Eukaryota; Metazoa; Chordata; Hyperoartia; Petromyzontiformes; Petromyzontidae. The record is from RefSeq and is a predicted model, not a curated record.
CUGCCGCGGGGGGUUCGGUCCCGCCUGGUUCCUGCUCCCGGCGAUCGGCGAGCAGCAGAGGCAGCAGGCCAUCUGUCAAACGCCCGCCGGUGACCGUGGCCCCAAUCCCCCCACAACGGUGGGAGGCGGGGGCCCAGCGGGGACCCACGGGGAAGGGAAGUGCACCAGGGUUCGCUACAGAUUCCUCUCGGAGACAACAAACAACACCCCGGUGAUCGGGGGCCGCGCCGGCAGCAAGGCGGCCGCAAGUUGGGGGGUACGGGACCCCCGGAAGAAAGUCGGCACUCACACCGAGGGCUCGCCGCCGAAACCCUCGUCGAUCCCCGCGCAGGCCCCCUCUGGGGACCCCUGCCGAGACCCCCGGGAAGGAGGGGGCCUGUGUGAGCCGCUGUCCCUGCCCGCGCUCGAGGGCGCGCGGCCGCGUGGUGCGGGCGCUGGGGCGCGGCGCGUUCCGGAACGGCGCGGCGCGCGUGUGGCUCGUGGACGAGGCAGCCGCUCGCCGCUUCUCCUGAGUGACGUUACACGGCAAGUCCUCGCUUAACGCGGUAGAUGCGUUCCUAAAAAGUGUCGCGUCAAGCGGGUAAACAUUUUUUCCCCCCAUAAAUAAUGUAGCGAUAACGUUCGGCGAGAUAGGACGAACAACUACGCACACACGCAGUGAGAUGGCGUGACAAAUACCUGAGGGUACGCCGCGCGUUACUGUUUCAUUCCGCGUGUUGUAUCGUAGCGC